RNAcentral lists this unclassified non-coding RNA (168 nucleotides) under uncultured Pleosporales. Its description in RNAcentral is "sequence contains ITS1". The record is from RNAcentral. Lineage: Eukaryota; Fungi; Ascomycota; Dothideomycetes; Pleosporales.
CCGAGUACCGGGUCUCUCAGGCCCUUACUCCCACCCAAUGUGUACCUUACCAUUUAUUUCGUUGCUUUGGCGGGUUCAGUGCCCACCUCCGGGGGGGUCACCCCCGCCAAAGGAACACCUUUAAACUCUUGUCAACUGUGUUGUCUGAGAAAAAAACAAAAUAAAUUA